AUACUUACCUGGCAGGGGAGAUACCAUGAUCACGAAGGUGGUUUUCCCAGGGCCAGGCUUAUCCAUAGCACUCCGGAUGUUCUGACCCCUGUGAUUUCCCCAAAUGUGGGAAACUUGACAGCAUAAUUUGUGGUAGUGGGGAACUGCAUUCUUGCUCUCCCCUU
Molecule: small nuclear RNA, 164 nt
Organism: Erinaceus europaeus (western European hedgehog)
Lineage: Eukaryota; Metazoa; Chordata; Mammalia; Eulipotyphla; Erinaceidae
Gene: U1
Rfam family: U1 spliceosomal RNA
About the family: U1 is a small nuclear RNA (snRNA) component of the spliceosome (involved in pre-mRNA splicing).
Source: Ensembl